This 400-nucleotide ribosomal RNA is filed under the name uncultured bacterium. RNAcentral describes it as "bacterial SSU rRNA". It matches the Rfam family "Bacterial small subunit ribosomal RNA", at positions 355 to 772 of the family's 1533-position model. The record is from RNAcentral.
UGGGGAAUAUUGGACAAUGGGCGCAAGCCUGAUCCAGCCAUGCCGCGUGAGUGAUGAAGGCCUUAGGGUUGUAAAGCUCUUUCGGCGGGGACGAUAAUGACGGUACCCGCAGAAGAAGCCCCGGCUAACUUCGUGCCAGCAGCCGCGGUAAUACGAAGGGGGCUAGCGUUGCUCGGAAUCACUGGGCGUAAAGGGCGCGUAGGCGGACUUUUAAGUCGGAGGUGAAAGCCCAGGGCUCAACCCUGGAAUUGCCUUCGAUACUGGGAGUCUCGAGACCGGAAGAGGUAAGUGGAACUGCGAGUGUAGAGGUGAAAUUCGUAGAUAUUCGCAAGAACACCAGUGGCGAAGGCGGCUUACUGGUCCGGUUCUGACGCUGAGGCGCGAAAGCGUGGGGAGCAAA